RNAcentral lists this ribosomal RNA (1246 nucleotides) under metagenome. Its description in RNAcentral is "bacterial LSU rRNA". It matches the Rfam family "Bacterial large subunit ribosomal RNA", at positions 1564 to 2818 of the family's 2925-position model. The record is from RNAcentral.
UGAAUACGAGAUGCUACGGCGUCGAAGCAGUGUAUGUCAGACUUCCAAGAAAAGCUCGCAAUGUCAUAAAUAAAGAAUGCCUGUACCAUAACCGACACAGGUGGGUAGGUAGAGUAUACUAAGGGGCGCGAGAUAACUCUCUCUAAGGAACUCGGCAAAAUAACUCCGUAACUUCGGGAGAAGGAGUGCCUUCUUUAAGAAGGUUGCAAUAACAAGAUCCAAGCAACUGUUUAUCAAAAACACAGGUCUCCGCUAAGUCGUAAGACGAUGUAUGGGGGCUGACGCCUGCCCAGUGCCAGAAGGUUAAAGAAGUUGGUUAGCUUUUGCGAAGCUGAUGACUGAAGCCCUGGUGAACGGCGGCCGUAACGAUAACGGUCCUAAGGUAGCGAAAUUCCUUGUCGGGUAAGUUCCGACCCGCACGAAAGGCGUAAUGAUUUGGAUACUGUCUCGGAGAGGGACUCGGUGAAAUAGACUUGUCUGUGAAGAUGCGGACUACCUGCACCAGGACAGAAAGACCCUAUGAAGCUUUACUGUAACUUGAAAUUGAAAUUGGACUUUAUUUGCGCAGUAUAGGUGGAAGGCGUUGAAAGUAAUCUUGCGGGAUUAGUGGAGCCAUCAGUGAGAUACCACUCCUAUAAUGUUAGAUUUCUAACUUUGGAUCAUGAUCUGGUCAAAGAACAGUUUCAGGCGGGCAGUUUGACUGGGGCGGUCGCCUCCCAAAUGGUAACGGAGGCGUACAAAGGUUUCCUCUGAACGGGUAGAAAUCGUAUCUAGAGUGUAAAGGCAUAAGGAAGCUUGACUGUGAGACCUACAAGUCGAGCAGGGACGAAAGUCGGUCUUAGUGAUCUGACGGUGCUGAGUGGAAAGGCCGUCACUCAACGGAUAAAAGUUACUCUAAGGAUAACAGGCUGAUCUCCCCCAAGAGUUCACAUCGACGGGGAGGUUUGGCACCUCGAUGUCGGCUCAUCGCAUCCUGGGGCGGUAGUACGUCCCAAGGGUUGGGCUGUUCGCCCAUGAAAGCGGUACGCGAGCUGGGUUCAGAACGUCGUGAGACAGUUCGGUCCAUAUCCGGUGUAGGCGUUAGAAUAUUGAGAGGAGCCUUCUUUAGUACGGGAGGACCGAGAAGGACAUACCUCUGGUGUACCAGUUAUCGUGCCAACGGUAAACGCUGGGUAGCUAUGUAUGGAGAGGAUAACCGCUGAAAGCAUCUAAGUGGGAAGCCCACCUCAAGAUGAGUAUUCUCAUC